This 22-nucleotide microRNA is filed under the name Branchiostoma floridae (Florida lancelet). Its description in RNAcentral is "Bfl-Mir-96-P2h_3p* (star (passenger))". Lineage: Eukaryota; Metazoa; Chordata; Leptocardii; Amphioxiformes; Branchiostomatidae. The record is from RNAcentral. RNAcentral also lists the same sequence under 2 other names.
AAGAAUUCCCCAGUACCAAGCA